Molecule: ribosomal RNA, 440 nt
Filed under: uncultured bacterium
Lineage: Bacteria
Description: partial 16S ribosomal RNA
Rfam family: Bacterial small subunit ribosomal RNA
Source: RNAcentral
CCUACGGGAGGCAGCAGUGGGGGAUAUUGCACAAUGGGGGAAACCCUGAUGCAGCGACGCCGCGUGGGUGAAGAAGCGCCUCGGCGCGUAAAGCCCUGUCAGCAGGGAAGAAAAUGACGGUACCUGAAGAAGACGCCCCGGCUAACUCCGGGCCAGCAGCCGCGGUAAUACGGGGGGGGCAAGCGUUAUCCGGAUUUACUGGGUGUAAAGGGGGCGCAGACGGCGAUGCAAGCCAGGAGGGAAAGCCCGGGGCCCAACCCCGGGACUGCUCUUGGAACUGCGUGGCUAGAGUGCAGGAGGGGCAGGCGGAAUUCCUGGUGUAGCGGUGAAAUGCGUAGAUAUCAGGAGGAACACCGGUGGCGAAGGCGGCCUGCUGGACUGCAACUGACGUUGAGGCCCGAAAGCGUGGGGAGCAAACAGGAUUAGAUACCCCGGUAGUC